RNAcentral lists this ribosomal RNA (429 nucleotides) under Pseudomonadota bacterium. RNAcentral describes it as "Proteobacteria bacterium partial 16S ribosomal RNA". It matches the Rfam family "Bacterial small subunit ribosomal RNA", at positions 355 to 776 of the family's 1533-position model. The record is from RNAcentral. Lineage: Bacteria; Pseudomonadati; Pseudomonadota.
UGGGGAAUAUUGGACAAUGGGCGAAAGCCUGAUCCAGCCAUGCUGCGUGUGUGAAGAAGGUCUUCGGAUUGUAAAGCACUUUAAGUUGGGAGGAAGGGCAGUAAGCGAAUACCUUGCUGUUUUGACGUUACCGUCAGAAUAAGCACCGGCUAACUCUGUGCCAGCAGCCGCGGUAAUACAGAGGGUGCAAGCGUUAAUCGGAAUUACUGGGCGUAAAGCGCGCGUAGGUGGUUCGUUAAGUUGAAUGUGAAAGCCCCGGGCUCAACCUGGGAACUGCAUCCAAAACUGACGGACUAGAGUAGGGCAGAGGGUGGUGGAAUUUCCUGUGUAUCGGUGAAAUGCGUAGAUAUAGGAAGGAACACCAGUGGCGAAGGCGACCACCUGGGCUCAUACUGACACUGAGGUGCGAAAGCGUGGGGAGCAAACAGG